This 470-nucleotide ribosomal RNA is filed under the name uncultured bacterium. RNAcentral describes it as "bacterial SSU rRNA". It matches the Rfam family "Bacterial small subunit ribosomal RNA", at positions 335 to 798 of the family's 1533-position model. The record is from RNAcentral.
ACUCCUACGGGAGGCAGCAUGGUAGGAUUGAUGCAAUGGGGGAAACCCUGAUCCAGCCAUGCCGCGUGUGUGAAGAAGGCCUUCGGGUUGUAAAGCACUUUCAGUGGGGAGGAAGGUAGUGUAGUUAACACCUGCAUUAUUUGACGUUACCUACAGAAGAAGCACCGGCUAACUCCGUGCCAGCAGCCGCGGUAAUACGGAGGGUGCGAGCGUUAAUCGGAAUUACUGGGCGUAAAGCGCAUGCAGGCGGCCUGUUAAGUCAGAUGUGAAAGCCCGGGGCUUAACCUCGGAAUUGCAUUUGAAACUGGCAGGCUAGAGUCUUGUAGAGGGGGGUAGAAUUUCAGGUGUAGCGGUGAAAUGCGUAGAGAUCUGAAGGAAUACCAGUGGCGAAGGCGGCCCCCUGGACAAAGACUGACGCUCAGAUGCGAAAGCGUGGGGAGCAAACAGGAUUAGAUACCCUGGUAGGAUAG